Molecule: ribosomal RNA, 433 nt
Filed under: uncultured bacterium
Lineage: Bacteria
Description: partial 16S ribosomal RNA
Rfam family: Bacterial small subunit ribosomal RNA
Source: RNAcentral
AACGAACGCUGGCGGCAGGCCUAACACAUGCAAGUCGAGCGGACCUUUCGGGGUCAGCGGCGGACGGGUGAGUAACGCGUGGGAAUAUGCCCUUCUCUACGGAAUAGUCCUGGGAAUCUGGGGGUAAUACCGUAUACGCCCUUUGGGGGAAAGAUUUAUCGGGGAAGGAUUAGCCCGCGUUGGAUUAGGUAGUUGGUGGGGUAAUGGCCUACCAAGCCGACGAUCCAUAGCUGGUUUGAGAGGAUGAUCAGCCACACUGGGACUGAGACACGGCCCAGACUCCUACGGGAGGCAGCAGUGGGGAAUCUUAGACAAUGGGGGCAACCCUGAUCUAGCCAUGCCGCGUGAGUGAUGAAGGCCUUAGGGUUGUAAAGCUCUUUCAGCUGGGAAGAUAAUGACGGUACCAGCAGAAGAAGCCCCGGCUAACUCCGUG